GAGGCUAAACAAGAAGAGUUCCUACAGGAGAUACCGGAGUAGGACGAAGCGACGUGAGUCGCUUUUCCACUCCCUUUUGUUGUUUCCGUCCAGCGUCUCCUCGAGCUUUCAUAGGUAAGCCUCUUGACAAUGUCUCUCCCAGUUAAACACCUCCAAUGAAUCAAACGAUUAGGUAAACCCUUCUGAUAGGUUCAACGGUCUCUCGAGUUCCCGCGACUCCAUAGAACCUCCGCGCCUGUACCACAGGUCACUCAACUAUUUUAGUCUGGGAAGUAGCAACUCGCGGUCUCAGACGUCUGGUGUCGACGGUUCUAUGAGCUAACGUCUCGCAUUAAGAAACUUCUAAAAUGAUAGGAAGU
This 359-nucleotide ribosomal RNA is filed under the name Triticum aestivum (bread wheat). RNAcentral's name for it is "partial small subunit ribosomal RNA". Lineage: Eukaryota; Viridiplantae; Streptophyta; Magnoliopsida; Poales; Poaceae. The record is from RNAcentral.